ACAAAUUAUUAUGUGCUAUUACACAAAUCUUGAUUUUUUAAAUUAUCUAUAUGAUUGUAGAUUAAUUAGCUACUAGAAUACUGUCUUUCUAAGCAAUACAAAAUUUAGAUUUUGUCAAUAUCGGUUUAUCAGUGAUGUGAUAUCCGGGGUGUGACAAUUCAGCACUUUUCCAUGAUUGACAUUGGAGCAGAAGACAACUGCUGCUUGCCUUUAUCUAUGUUUAUAUCUGGUCACGUGCAUCACGUGUUUUUCGAAAACUUGAGAAUAUUAAAAAUCCAUAUUAGUCGAUGCGAUAAAAUAAACACAAGUUAAAAUAUAAAAACCGUGCUUGUGCCUCAGUGUUAUGAUGUGCCUUCAAGACGGUAAUUACGGUAUAAUUAUGGCUUAAAACCCCGCAAACAUGUAAAGGUGAUACCGCUGUUCUGGACUUGAAGCAUUGAAGUCGCUAGGGAUCACGUGAGAAAACCACACACGAAAAAGGUUCGCAUAAGAGACAAGCAAGGUUGUCUGAACCUAAUUAUUCUUCUAUUAAUGUAAAACUAUUAUCUGUAUUUUUUUAUUUUUACCAA
Molecule: long non-coding RNA, 569 nt
Organism: Dendroctonus ponderosae (mountain pine beetle)
Lineage: Eukaryota; Metazoa; Arthropoda; Insecta; Coleoptera; Curculionidae
Exons: 2
Source: RefSeq, a predicted model, not a curated record